This 1946-nucleotide long non-coding RNA is filed under the name Sipha flava (yellow sugarcane aphid). RNAcentral describes it as "uncharacterized LOC112685365". Lineage: Eukaryota; Metazoa; Arthropoda; Insecta; Hemiptera; Aphididae. The record is from RNAcentral.
UCAACGUAAAAACAUUUUUUUUUUUUUCGUGGCAAAUUAUGCUCCUUCUAUUUUGAUUUAAAUAUAGACUUCUACUCCGAUCGCGGAAGAGAUGCAGGUAUUGAGCUUUUGGAAGAUGUAUAACGCAACAAUGUUAUAAAGUCACGGCAACGAACCAAGAUCUUUUUGAUAGCAUUUUGUGGUUUACGGUUAUAUGAAGAUGGAAUAAUCUGGAUAUAAUCAUUUUUAAUUGAAAUAAAAUAAACUUUGGUACAUAUUUAAUACCAUUAAACGGGAAGACUGAACGGUUAGCUGAACUAAGUAUUCGAUCAAAAUAAUAAACUGAUGUACACUACCUAUAAAACAUUUUUAUGUAUUUAUAUUUAAUAUAAAUAUAGCGCGAAUAUGACCAAUAAUUGGACGUCAAACAUCAAAAUAUUACCAAAUAAGGCGAAAAAUCCAGAAAGAUUAUUAUUGUUAUUCGAGUCUAGUUUUCUACGUCGACGAGGACACCGAAGAAUAAUCGAAUAUUAUAAUAUCGAAUAAUCGAUAGUCGAAAAAUAGAUACUUAUUUUGGUGAAAAUUACAAAUUAUACUUUUGACUACUCACAGUGGUGAAAAUUACACAUCUUUAAUUUGGUGCAAAUCACAAACUCCCUUGUGUACAUGUAGUGUUAUCAUUUUUAUAGUUUUUGUACAUUUUCAAUAGUUACGAUGGUACGAAAAUCAGUACGAAUGUCUCUGUUCGAUCGGUCGGACGGUAGAGAGGAUAAAAUGCUAAAAAAAAAAAAUAUAGUUUAUCGCCACGCACGCGAAGUCCGUAAUGUAUACGAGUAUAUUACAGCGAAUAUAAAUAAUAUGUAAAUAUCCAACGAUAAGGACCGCAUAUAGCAAUGUUUAACGUGCGUUCAGCGAAACGCGUCCGCAGGAAUCGAACAAGUAUAAGAACAUUAUUAUCUAUCUCGUUUCCCCCCCCCCCCACAUCCACCGCCCCUAACGUAAUGUUAUGCAGCACGCUGCACGAAAUGUACGGUAAAAUAUACAAUACGCGCACGAAUAAUGCCACGUACCGUUGUGUUCUGCGGGAGCGACGAAACGAUAUUUACGAUACAGUUCUGACUGGGCCUAAUGAAAUAAAUUCAACGGCAUGGAGGAAAAGAAACCUGAAUUUAAAUCAAAACAAUAUCACACGGAGACAAUACGAAAAUAUUAUAUCGGACGUUCAGGCCGAACAUCAUCACCCCAUUCCGAACGGUCCUAUUGUCGGCGAACUGGUUUUCCCGCCUCUGGCCCCAAAUUGACUCGUAUCGGGGACAUACGCGUAUCCUGGGUACGGGGCAGCCCUGCGAUCGCACCAACCCGUAAUAAUGUAAUUACUGUGCGACCCACCGCGCGUCAAUGUUAAACGAACGAAAACAAAAUAACGAUAAACAAGUCGAAAGAGAGGGACACCGGUGACAGACAGAGAAAUUAUACUACAAUCGACUUCGGAUCCAUUCGGCCGUGUAAUGUAUUUCAUUCGUGGACUUUAUUUUUUUCGAUUUUCACAACCGCUGGCGUGCGAUUCGCGGCCUAAACGUCUGCAUUUCACUGCGUGCGCAUGUUCGCGCGUUCGAAUCAACCGAAUGCUCAAAUCACGGACGCGAGCGAUUUGAUUGCGAACCGCGGACUGAAGAAUGAAUUCGACCGGAAACACACGUUUUUAAAAACACGAUAUUCUCUCUUUUAAAACGAAUAUUGCAUUGAAACUACUCAGAUUUGAUGAAGCGUACGUACUCAUCAAUCAUGUCGUGGUUCUUUUACAAAUCGAACAAUAUUCCGUAAAAUACGAUUGUGUAAACGCCGGGGGAGUAUAAAAUGUUUUCAAAACGACAACAAUUUGUAGUGCGUUGUGCCAGAAAUUAUAUUCAAAAAAAAUGUAUAAAUCAUAAUUUUAUGAUUAAAAUACAAAAUAUUUCAACUUUCUA